GCCUGGCCGCCUCGCACCGCGGGCCCCCACCCUCCGGCCGGCCCUUACACCUCCACGCGCGCGCGCGCACGCACAUGCACGCGCUCUUGCACGCGCACACCGCCCGGGCCUCCCUGCCGGAGAAGCCGGAGAAGCGGAGGCCCGGGCACCAGUGACUGACCGCAGGUGAAAACCCAGGUCUGGGAGCAUCAGGAGCCUUCCAGGACCACCGUCCAAGGACAGGCAAUCCUGUCCGAAUUUCCAUCAAGUCCAUAGUGUCCCGGGAGGCCGCUCGGUUUCCGGUGGCUUUGCCUGAUUCCUUCCUGCUUCAGAGCAGGCACAGAAGAGAAAUGGCUUGUGCUGGACAGAGAUUCUCUGGUGUCAAAUCUUUAUCAAAGGCUUCCUAGAUCCAGGUGGAGUGAGAACUUCGAGUUCCUAAGCCCAGCCGCUGGCCCAGUUGAGCGAGUGGCUCCCUUGGCUACCUCCAGGACAAGCGGAGGAACGUUUUGGAAUGGAAGAAUGCGUUGGCUUAGAAUCUGCAGGGAGGAAGUGACCUCGUCUGCCCAUCCCACGGUCGUACCACAGAGCGAGCUCGGGAAUAAAGAUUAAAUUCGACCUGUUUCAA
Molecule: long non-coding RNA, 604 nt
Organism: Panthera uncia (snow leopard)
Lineage: Eukaryota; Metazoa; Chordata; Mammalia; Carnivora; Felidae
Exons: 3
Source: RefSeq, a predicted model, not a curated record